UCUGGAGUAAAUUGAGAUUGAAUAAGGGGCAACCUUUAAAUGAGACGUGUUGAUGGUUUGUAGCUGGUGCUUCGAGCCUUCGAGUUUUGAAGUGGAGAAAGUUUAAGCCUUGAUUUUGUCGAUUUUUGUUUCUGAUAUGAACAGCUUUUAGGAAUCUUUAAGCAGCUUUUCUCUUCUCUUUCAAUGUUGACUGCAGUUUUUCUUCUCUCUAGACGGUUUCGUAGAAUGGAACACGCUACCCCACCAUUGAUGAGCUGGGGAUCCCUGCGGUGCAUGCUUUCCACCGCCAAGGCUGUACAAUCAUGACAGCCGCCAGGUCAUCUUAGAUCAGCAUUUUCCCCAAUGCUUUUUUGGCGCUGCCCGAGAGUGGUAUGAAUCUGGGUGGUCAUCAUAUCAUUCACAGAUAGCUAUCUAACGAGAUAUGGUACAUAAAAUGCACUGCAUGCGAUGUCCGCCAUAUCUGAUAGUUAUCCAUCUGGACGAUACGGCAAGCAUCCAAGAUUGUAGCACUCCCAACAGUGAAAAUUGCACGCUACAGAGGAUCCGUCUCCAUCAUCUUUUGCUGGGGAUAGAUGAUUGUUGCUUAUUCUUAUGAGAUACUGUGUUGGGCACCCAACACGAUCCUUUAUAUUCUCAAUUGAGUAAUAGCCAUCUACAUGUAAGAUAGGAUGAUAUAGCAGCUAUCCAAGAUUAUGUACAGCUUUUGUUGAGGUGCAAAAUAUUUAUCAUAAAAGAUUUGAUUUUAUCAUAAAUUAAUUGUUGGGCAUAAUGCUUUAAAGAUGAUCGAACACUUUAGAUAAUGAGUAAAAUAGAAGUUAUCCAUUUCUAUUCUUAUUUUACUAAUUAUUGCUAUAACAUAUUUUCUUAUCUAAUUUAAUGAGUAUAUUGCAGUAGUAUUUUUUAUUAAAAUUAAUCAUAAGUAUUUAUUUAAUUAGGGGAUCUUAUUUUGGCCUUUGCUUUUUUUUCUUGCUUAGCAAGUUUUCUUAUUCUAAAAAAAAAAAAUCUCUAUAAAUACUCAUUGCAACCACUCAAUUGGCAUAGUUUAGGAUUAAUAAAAUUUUUAAAUUUUUUUUUCUAUUCUUUUAUACUAGCAUCACGUUCACAUCCUGCAUGAGUAAGCAUGUCAGCAACCAAGAGAGUGGUUGAAACUAUUUUAUAAGUUUCAAUCAUAUGCCACGGAUAAAUAAUGUGGCAUGCAUGACAACCGCUCCAGGUUGAUAAUGACUUCAUAGAGCAUGAAUCUGGACAAAAUGACAUAGGGUCUGAAUGAUCUUUUUUUAUGUGCCAAGAUGCUCGUGUUUCAUGAAUGAAAAUAUUUUAUAUGAUUACAUUAGGUGGAGAUAAAUGGCAUCUUUCCUGGUUCAAUUUUUUUAUUUUGUGGUAGGAAGGUCGUCUUUUUCUCGUUCUGGCUCUACUAUGGAUGUACGGACCAACAUUAGAUAAGAGACAGAGAAUUUCUCCUCCACCCCUGGAAGACACGGAUGCCUUCUUUAGCAUAUGACUUAUGGAUGAUAUAAUAUGCAUGAUUCGAAGUAUCACGUCUAGGUAAUUCUUAGGCCACUCUUUGUUAAGGUCUUUUCCGAGGGUGAGCCUCUACCUCUUCCUCUAGAGAGGAUGGAUGAUAUAAUAUGAUUCCAAGAAUCACUUUCAGGUAAUUUGAUGCAUGUGGUGUGGGAUAAUGUGAGUGGUGGUAAUUUGAUGCAUGUGGUGUGGGAUAAUGUGAGAGUGGUGGUCUUAAGUAUUUUCUUUUAAGAAAAGGCGUUUCCUGGCCCUUCUGAACUUUUAAAUAGGAAUGAUUGACCGUGUACGUACAUACCUGGGAAUGGAAUCUCUCC
RNAcentral lists this long non-coding RNA (1835 nucleotides) under Elaeis guineensis (African oil palm). RNAcentral describes it as "long non-coding RNA (EGUI_LNC013775)". Lineage: Eukaryota; Viridiplantae; Streptophyta; Magnoliopsida; Arecales; Arecaceae. The record is from RNAcentral.